GGGUGAGUAACACGUGGGCAACCUGCCUGUAAGACUGGGAUAACUUCCGGAAACCGGAGCUAAUACCGGAUAAUUCCUUUCCUCUCAUGAGGGAAGGCUGAAAGAUGGCAUCUCGCUAUCACUUACAGAUGGGCCCGCGGCGCAUUAGCUAGUUGGUGAGGUAACGGCUCACCAAGGCAACGAUGCGUAGCCGACCUGAGAGGGUGAUCGGCCACACUGGGACUGAGACACGGCCCAAACUCCUACGGGAGGCAGCAGUAGGGAAUCUUCCGCAAUGGACGAAAGUCUGACGGAGCAACGCCGCGUGAGUGAUGAAGGUUUUCGGAUCGUAAAACUCUGUUGUUAGGGAAGAACAAGUACCGGAGUAACUGCCGGUACCUUGACGGUACCUAACCAGAAAGCCACGGCUAACUACGUGCCAGCAGCCGCGGUAAUACGUAGGUGGCAAGCGUUGUCCGGAAUUAUUGGGCGU
This 472-nucleotide ribosomal RNA is filed under the name Cytobacillus oceanisediminis. Its description in RNAcentral is "bacterial SSU rRNA". It matches the Rfam family "Bacterial small subunit ribosomal RNA", at positions 104 to 561 of the family's 1533-position model. The record is from RNAcentral. Lineage: Bacteria; Bacillati; Bacillota; Bacilli; Caryophanales; Bacillaceae.